This is a long non-coding RNA of Panicum hallii, 2019 nucleotides long. RefSeq lists it as uncharacterized. The record is from RefSeq and is a predicted model, not a curated record. Lineage: Eukaryota; Viridiplantae; Streptophyta; Magnoliopsida; Poales; Poaceae. The transcript has 2 exons.
UUUGUCGCACUCUGGAUUGAAGUACUGAAGCUGGCAACCAAAAUUGAUAGCUUGGUUUCGAGUACCUUCUGUACAUCAACUUCUUUUGGCCAAGCCACAAAUUUGUUGGUCCACUAGACAAGCUUGUGAUGAGAGUGGUCACACCAUACACGCCUCACGUCUUAUCUUAUAUUCAUAUGCAAGGACACAUAUGGUAUAACUUAGAUGGGAAUACAAAACAAAGAUGAAUGAUCAUACUAGAACUCAUUUUGUUCUCUAUUUGUGGCAAAAGAAGGUAAAAAAAAUGCUUAGAUAAAAAUUAAAUUACCCUUGAUCUCAGUAAGUUUGUGCCUAGAUAGUUCUGUUUCAGUUUGCAUUUUCCUAGUGAAUCUUUCUUUAAACCAUGAUAGACUGAACCUGGAAGGGUCCAUUGCACUUGUUUUUACCUGCUCUCCUGAUUCCAAUGUAAUAGGGACAUAUUGGCCAGAUUAAUGGUUGAUGUGUUGUUCACCUAAAGAGCGGCCACCAAUCAUAAGGCGAAAGAUGGUAUACUUUAACUGAAAAAUGCUGUGCUCUGUAGUGGCAGCACUGAUUUGAACUCUUUUAUUGCUUCCUGGGGCUCUGAAAAUGAUGGGACUAUUUGGCUUUUCCUAACCUAUCUGAAGCUGUGCUUGCACGAUCCAAAUUUUAUUUUGGCAAGAUAGCUAUAGUCAAUUUUUAAGUGAUGUGUUGGAUUCACUUCCAUAGAUCUUUUGACAUUGCUUUCCUGUACGUCGUUAGCAUAGACCAAACAACCAGAAAAAUCUCCUUGAAUUGUUGUUUUAAGCAAACGUCGAUUGUAUGCCACUGUUCGCCAUGAUCACUAAAACUUGUCCUGGCAUGUAAAUGAUUGAGAAUGCACGUAAGCGCCUAUCCAGCCUAGUAAGAAGAAUUGAAGUUGAGAUGUUUGUAAAGCAUGGCCACGUGUUUGCUCUUCGCCAGCAAAGUGAUGAUUAUUCGCUGCCCCUCUUCCAGGCCUGCUCAGAAGGUGCAGCACGUUGGCCGUUAUUUACACAGGUUCAAAUGUCUAUUCAGCUUCGGUGAGAUCUGUCUCCAUCUUAUCUCUUCCGGCGGCCGAGGCCCCACCCGCAGCGCCCUCUCUCUCUCUCUCUCUCUCCCGCUCGCCAUCGCCGCCUCUGCAGGCAUCACCGCACGGGAAAUCCCCAAAUCCCCGAAAUAAGAGCGCUCGAUUAAUCUCAGCAUCGAUUAACAAUCCAUGAGAAAUCCCCAAAUCCACGAAGAAUCAACUCGUCAACUCGGUAGCAAAGAAAUUCCCCGAAAAUCCCCCAAAUCCUACCUACGCCGCCGCCGCCGCCACCAGCCUUCGCGCAGCAGCGCCCCUGCCCCUGGAGCCUCUCUCGGCGACUGGGAAGUAGGGCUCGUAGGGCCUGACCUCGGCGGCGUCGCACCAGGCGAAGGAAUUAUCGCCGAAGUAAAAGACGAGGAGCUGGGCGUGGUGGCCGGUGCCGUUGACGCCGGCGGAGUAGACAGGCCGGGCCAUGCGGCGUUGUUGCGCGGCGGCGGAUCCCGAAGCGGCCGCGGGAGCACAGGACCGUGCGAGGUGGCCGGCAGCGUCUAGCGGAGAGAGCGCGAGAUGGAGGCGACGCCUCCGGCGACGAGGAGUGUGAGGUGGGGGCGGAUGCAAUCGACGGCGGGAGCGCGCGGAGCGGCCUCACCUAGCUGCAGUGGAUCCGUCUUGCGGCUGGCGGCAGCGCCGGUGGAGCAGCAGCAGCGCAUGGCCAGCGGCGGAGACGCGGCAGGCGGCAGCAGCAGCAGCGCAACGGCGGGGUGAACGGAUAAGGAAGAGAAGAAAACGUUAAAAAAAGAAGGGAGAAAAAAGAAAAGGAAGGGAAAAGAGAAGGGAGAGAAAAAGAUUAAUUACAUUCAGUAAUAUUUUUAUUUCAUAUAUGAAUUAUAUUAUAGACUGAGGAAAAAAUAAAAUUAUAUGUACAACCAAGUAUGGGGAUAUUGGAUAUUUAACAUGUUUCAUGCAUUCCCUAA